UGAGCCUCCUACAGCCCAGUGGUGUAGCACAAGCAAGUUGUCCAGGUUGCUUUCUUCCUGCUGAAAUCCUGAGUUUUGCAACAGAGGAUUUCCAAAGCCUGUCAGGGAUGGGUCUCAGGCCUUCACCCCCUGGCCAGAGAAACAGUGCAGGAACGCCUUGGAGGGAAUGAUCCACGCAUGUCCCCUCAGCAUGUGCUCGCUCUCUGAUGGCAGGAGCAGAGGCGAGCACUGGCUGCAUUGGAGCUGGGUCUGGUUGUUCCUUUCCUUGGUGUGCAGCUUGCCUUGCGCUGCAGGAUUUCACUGGAGAUAGCAUGGGUUGGGCAUGGUGAGAGGGAGCAGGGACAAAGUUUGGGAGCUCUGGGGACUAAAGUUCAAAAUAAGCAGUCUGAAAGAAUGGAGAAAUGUGAAAAACAGGAAGAAGACGAGGAGAAAGAUGCCGAGGAUGGUGCUGGGGAGAUGAGCCUUGUGAUCUGGAAGUCAUGGAUAGGCACCAAACCUUGGUGGGGAGGGCAUGGCCAUACUGCUUGCUAUUUCUCCUCUCUUUGCUGGUUAAAAGUCAGCAAGGCAAACCCAUGGAGGAUUCCUUGUACCCUGUGUGAAGGACAUAGGUGAGCAGAGAAGUGCCUCUGUAAGCAUUGCUUCAGUGCUGGUUCUGCAAAGAGGCUGCAGGAACUCAUUAUUCAUGAUUUUAUCUUGCUACCUGAAAUACAUAAAUAGCCUAAAGGUUCCUCUGAUGGACUUUUUCCAGCUCUUUGAUGUGCCAAAGAUAAUUUCUGUACAUACUCCCUCAACCUGUCCCCACUCCCUACCUAAAGUUUAAUGUUUCUACUUGUUAUGUUUACCUGUCUGUACUAGACUGCAAGCUCCAUAAGACGGGGGCCUUGCCAUCUUUCAUGUUGAAGGAGUUGUAACAUCAACAGCUAUAAAACGGGAUAUAAAUUAUCAAAGCAACAUAAACUGUCACAGCUCAACUCUUGGGCAUCAUCUGCACUGAGAAGCUGGCCCUGAGCCUUGUGGUGCUCUGGAUUUUAAGACUGUGGGACUGCAACAGUGGGAGCAGAUGGAGGCAUCCCCAGACCCAUGCCGGGCUCCUGUAGCUAAGGCAAGAAUGGCACAGAGCUGAGUGGUGCCUGCUGCCCUGCCUCUCACAGCUGGGGCACGUCCCUGUGUGUCCCUAUGGUCCAGCAGCAUUUCUGUGAGCCUUCAGCAUGCUGGCAGCCAGGUCCUGGGAGCUGCUUCCUCCUUGCAGCCUGGGAUGUGUCAGGGAGAGACCUUGUUUUUAUAACCUCCUGUUAUGGCUGGAGGUGAUGCCUCUGCGGUGGCGGCUGGGGAGCAGGCUUUGAUCUGGAUGCAUCCUUUGGGAAGCCAGGCCUCUGAGCCUUCCUUGCCUUGGGCAAGAGCCAAGAGGAUUUCCCCUAAGUACAGAGCCAUCAGAGCUUAUCAGAGCUGUCUUGCUGUCACCACCCUGCAGGCAGCAUCUGGCCUGGAGGUCGGGCAGAGGCACCUGGGGCAGGGGGAGCCCAGCAGCAGCUGGGAGCAGGAUGGGAUGAUGAGGGGAUGCUGUGAAUGAGGAAACGGCCCCAUCACCUGGGGGGUGCUGUGAAUGAGCCAACAGCCCCAUCACCCAGCUCACCUGGGGCAUUCAGCCCAGGUAUCCUCUGCACACCCGGCCAGCCAGACUGCCUUGCUCGGGGCUGGCCCCUCACUAGAUCUCAGAAGUGCUGGUGUUUCUGGCUCCUUCUUUUGCCCAUCUGCUCCUGUGGACUGCUCGAGGCACUUCCACACUUCUUUCAAACAAAGCUGUUCUUUCGCUGACCCAGGGUUGCUAUUCACUGAUGAAUUGGAUGCUGUUCAUCGCAGCUUGAAAUACCGUUUGCUGCUCUUAAUGCUUUCCAUUCAUUUUCUGUGGCGAUCGGAUUCAUAGCAGCAGAUACGCAGCUUUCAUUGAUACUUGAUGCAGCAGCCAUACCCUCAGCAAAGGCUUUUUUGUGCAUAGGGCUCCAAACCUUUCAAGCAGGCUGUGGUGGAAAGCCAUAAUGUCCCUUUUCUGCCAUGCCCCGAGCCACCUGCAGCCUGUGAAAGAGCACAUUGUUUCCGCAAUUAAAGAAACAACAUGGGCAGUGUCUGUGCUGCCUUCGAGGGAGGGCUCUGGGUAAUCCCUUCUCGCUCUGCCCCCAUCCUUCACCCCCCACCAUCCUGUCUGAGGCCCAGUUUUAGCCCCAGUGCUGCUUAAUUCCCAAUGGGGAGAUAUUUGCAGGGUGGGAUUUUAUUUCCAGCAGCUAAAUGAGCCCCUCGAAACUAUUCUACCAGCACUUGUGUAGGGGGAAGAUGCUGCACUGCUUUUUGCUCAGAGAAAAGGAGCCUGACAGCUUAGCGCUGCUCAGAGACAGGAAAAUUACUUUGUCUGGUGAAUAUUCUAAAGAGAUGAAAUAACAGGGCAUGAUCAAAAUCCUCUGCUUAACAGAAGAGCUGCCUGACUCCUGCAAAGCCAACAACUGCAUUGUUUUACUCAGCUUUUGCAGAGCAACGUGAGAGAAGGAGCAGUGGCGAUUCCUGCGAAUGCUUUCAGCCAAAAAACGGGAGGCUUGGGCUGUGAUUCAUGCUGUCAGCCACAGGAAAAGUCCCUGCCCCAGCAAAUAAGUCGGGGUUUGCCAUGGGAACGUCCCUGCUGGCGCUUGCCUGGUUCACCUUUCCCGGGACAGGGGCCAUCACCACCAGCUCGGCGCUGUCAGGAGCCACCCAGCCGCAAGGCUUCGGCACGGUGCAGUGCCAGCAGUGUGUUUUCGGCACACGGAGCCGCGUCGUGAAGGCAACGGCUGUGGUGCUCAAGGGAAAAACAACAGCGCUUGAAGAAGGGCGGGCUACAGGCCCAGCCAGAAAAAGGCCAGCCGUAAAGGCCGGGCUGCCCGGCAUGCUGGGCCUGGCAGGGCCGCAGCUCGCCUGUUUGCCUUCUGGGAGAAGUCCCCGCUGUGGCUGGCUUUGCCUAUUUGAUCCGGGCUGAGGUCAUGUCUUUUCCUAUCUGCUGCGCUCCCACUGCAAGUGCCUGUAAGAGGCUAAUUGCUGUAACGCUUCUAAUUGCCCAGCCAACACGUUGCCUCUGUUCAACCCGUGAUCCCAGCCACAGGAGCUGGGGCAGCCACCCACUGUUUGCUGGCUCAGAGGCAGCGGCACCGGCAAACAAAGGCUUGCUGUGGGUGUCACUGGGAGCAGCCUUGGUGCCCGGCCCGUGGCACUGAACGAGGAUUUUCAAGGGGUGCCCAAGACCCUUGGCUCCCACCGAAUGGGAUGGUGGGUGCACAGCAGGGGGACAGGCAGGGAGCUUAUGACAGGAACAGCAUGCAACGCUGCCUCUGUGUGAGGAGACCCCAGCUGCCAGCUUCAGCCUGGAAAGGUUCAGGCUUGGGGCUACAGCAGCAGUACCCAGCCUGCUGAGUAACAGGAGGAAUGGGAGCCGUUUGCUCAUAAGACUUAAUGGACGUUAAAUGAAAUCAUUGGGCAGAUAUUUUUUUAAGACAUGGAGGAAGUCUUUUUUUUUUUUUUUUUUCAGGCGGACGUAAUUAAUUGGUGGAACUCAUUGCCACGGGAUGCUCCAGGUGCCCAAACUGUACGUUGGUUCAAAAGCAAUUAGGCAAAUUAAUGUGACAGCAGCCUGUGGAGGCCUGGUAAAGCUGAUGUUGCAGAUGCUGCCUGUGGCUCAGGAAGCCACUCUCCCCUGCGACCAGAGCUGCAGGAUGGCCGCAGCGUGUCUUCUCCUCCCAGGGCUCCCCGUGCAGAUUUGCAACGUUCCCUGUGUAGAGAACAAAUGUAAAAAGAAAUCAAGGGACGUCUCAUUCUCACAGUGUGUUACUGGGAGGGAGAAGAGGAGGACUUUGCAACUCUUGCUUCUCUGAGGUGUGUUUCUGCAGGAGUAUAAGUUGGCCUUGGAUGGGAGAGCCGUGUUUUUGCCUUCCUCCUCCUCUCCGACCUCUUGCUGACAAUGGUUUUGCCUGACCAAGGCAGGCCGAGCCAACAAGGAAGCCACUGGUGUGGGUGCCACGGCUUGUGCCAGGCCAUGGGGGCAGCAGGACAGAGAAGGGGGGAUGGGACCACGUCUGCUGCCCUAGCUGCACCCUCGGCCUCGCAUCCUCACGCCUGGACAC
Anas platyrhynchos (mallard) is the source of this 4139-nucleotide long non-coding RNA. RefSeq lists it as uncharacterized. The record is from RefSeq and is a predicted model, not a curated record. Lineage: Eukaryota; Metazoa; Chordata; Aves; Anseriformes; Anatidae.